This 253-nucleotide ribosomal RNA is filed under the name uncultured bacterium. RNAcentral describes it as "partial 16S ribosomal RNA". It matches the Rfam family "Bacterial small subunit ribosomal RNA", at positions 524 to 776 of the family's 1533-position model. The record is from RNAcentral.
UACAGAGGUGGCAAGCGUUGUUCGGAAUUACUGGGCGUAAAGGGCGCGUAGGCGGCUUUCUAAGUCAGACGUGAAAUCCCCCGGCUUAACCUGGGAACUGCGUCUGAUACUGGGAGGCUAGAGUAUGGGAGAGGGAUGUGGAAUUCCAGGUGUAGCGGUGAAAUGCGUAGAUAUCUGGAGGAACACCGGUGGCGAAGGCGGCAUCCUGGACCAUAACUGACGCUGAUCCGCGAAAGCUAGGGGAGCAAACGGG